This is a non-coding RNA of Salinicoccus halodurans, 99 nucleotides long. Lineage: Bacteria; Bacillati; Bacillota; Bacilli; Caryophanales; Staphylococcaceae. The record is from Rfam.
CAAUACCACUAGGGGUGCUUUUUGCUGAGACAGCCACCCGGCUGAUCCCUUAGACCUGAUCUGGAUAAUACCAGCGUAGGAAAGUGGGUUAGUCCGGCA